GAUGAACGCUGGCGGCGUGCCUAAUACAUGCAAGUCGAGCGAACGGACGAGAAGCUUGCUUCUCUGAUGUUAGCGGCGGACGGGUGAGUAACACGUGGAUAACCUACCUAUAAGACUGGGAUAACUUCGGGAAACCGGAGCUAAUACCGGAUAAUAUUUUGAACCGCAUGGUUCAAAAGUAAAAGACGGUCUUGCUGUCACUUAUAGAUGGAUCCGCGCUGCAUUAGCUAGUUGGUAAGGUAACGGCUUACCAAGGCAACGAUGCAUAGCCGACCUGAGAGGGUGAUCGGCCACACUGGAACUGAGACACGGUCCAGACUCCUACGGGAGGCAGCAGUAGGGAAUCUUCCGCAAUGGGCGAAAGCCUGACGGAGCAACGCCGCGUGAGUGAUGAAGGUCUUCGGAUCGUAAAACUCUAUUAUUAGGGAAGAACAUAUGUGUAAGUAACUGUGCACAUCUUGACGGUACCUAAUCAGAAAGCCACGGCUAACUACGUG
RNAcentral lists this ribosomal RNA (497 nucleotides) under uncultured bacterium. RNAcentral describes it as "partial 16S ribosomal RNA". It matches the Rfam family "Bacterial small subunit ribosomal RNA", at positions 28 to 507 of the family's 1533-position model. The record is from RNAcentral.